UCCAGACUCCUACGGGAGGCAGCAGUGAGGAAUAUUGGUCAAUGGGCGCAGGCCUGAACCAGCCAAGUCGCGUGAGGGAAGACUGCCCUAUGGGUUGUAAACCUCUUUUAUAAGGGAAGAAUAAUGACUACGUGUAGUCAGAUGCCCGUACCUUAUGAAUAAGGAUCGGCUAACUCCGUGCCAGCAGCCGCGGUAAUACGGAGGAUCCGAGCGUUAUCCGGAUUUAUUGGGUUUAAAGGGAGCGUAGAUGGGUUGUUAAGUCAGUUGUGAAAGUUUGCGGCUCAACCGUAAAAUUGCAAUUGAUACUGGCAGUCUUGAGUACAGUUGAGGUAGGCGGAAUUCGUGGUGUAGCGGUGAAAUGCUUAGAUAUCACGAAGAACCCCGAUUGCGAAGGCAGCUUACUAAACUGUGACUGACAUUGAUGCUCGAAAGUGUGGGUAUCAAACAGGAUUAGAUACCCGAGUAAC
This 467-nucleotide ribosomal RNA is filed under the name uncultured bacterium. Its description in RNAcentral is "partial 16S ribosomal RNA". It matches the Rfam family "Bacterial small subunit ribosomal RNA", at positions 330 to 795 of the family's 1533-position model. The record is from RNAcentral.